CUGAAAGUAUCGCUAGGCUUUAA
RNAcentral lists this microRNA (23 nucleotides) under Eisenia fetida (common brandling worm). RNAcentral's name for it is "Efe-Mir-2000-P1_5p* (star (passenger))". Lineage: Eukaryota; Metazoa; Annelida; Clitellata; Crassiclitellata; Lumbricidae. The record is from RNAcentral.